GACGAACGCUGGCGGCGUGCUUAACACAUGCAAGUCGAGCGGUAAGGCCCUUUCGGGGUACGACUAGCGGCGAACGGGUGAGUAACACGUGGGUGACCUGCCCUCAGCUCUGGGAGUAAAGCCUGGGAAACUGGGUCUAAUACUGGAUAUGACUCCACGGUGCAUGUCGUGGGGUGGAAAGCCUUGUGCGGCUGAGGAUGGGCCCGCGGCCUAUCAGC
Molecule: ribosomal RNA, 218 nt
Filed under: uncultured bacterium
Lineage: Bacteria
Description: partial 16S ribosomal RNA
Rfam family: Bacterial small subunit ribosomal RNA
Source: RNAcentral